RNAcentral lists this non-coding RNA (957 nucleotides) under Bubalus bubalis (water buffalo). RNAcentral's name for it is "12S ribosomal RNA". It matches the Rfam family "Bacterial small subunit ribosomal RNA". The record is from RNAcentral. Lineage: Eukaryota; Metazoa; Chordata; Mammalia; Artiodactyla; Bovidae.
CAUAGGUUUGGUCCCAGCCUUCCUGUUAACUCUUAAUAAACUUACACAUGCAAGCAUCCGCAUCCCGGUGAGAAUGCCCUCUAGGUCAACAAAACUAAGAGGAGCGGGCAUCAAGCACACACCUGUAGCUCACGACGCCUUGCUUAACCACACCCCCACGGGAAACAGCAGUGACAAAAAUUAAGCCAUAAACGAAAGUUUGACUAAGUUAUAUUAACUAAGGGUUGGUAAAUCUCGUGCCAGCCACCGCGGUCAUACGAUUAACCCAAGCUAACAGGAGUACGGCGUAAAAUGUGUUAAAGCACACCGCUAAAUAGAGUUAAAUUUUAAUUAAGCCGUAAAAAGCCAUAAUUUCAAUAAAAAUAAGCAACGAAAGUGACUCUAUAACAGCUGACACACUAUAGCUAAGACCCAAACUGGGAUUAGAUACCCCACUAUGCUUAGCCCUAAACACAAAUAAUUAUAUUAACAAAAUUAUUCGCCAGAGUACUACCGGCAACAGCCUAAAACUCAAAGGACUUGGCGGUGCUUUAUAUCCCUCUAGAGGAGCCUGUUCUAUAAUCGAUAAACCCCGAUAGACCUCACCAAUUCUUGCUAAUGCAGUCUAUAUACCGCCAUCUUCAGCGAACCCUAAAAAGGUACAAAAGUAAGCGCAAUCACAACGCAUAAAAACGUUAGGUCAAGGUGUAACCUAUGAAAUGGGAAGAAAUGGGCUACAUUUUCUACACCAAGAACACCCAACACGAAAGUUAUUAUGAAAAUUAAUAACCAAAGGAGGAUUUAGCAGUAAACUAAGAAUAGAGUGCUUAGUUGAACUAGGCCAUGAAGCACGCACACACCGCCCGUCACCCUCCUCAAGUAAAUACAAUGCACCUAACCCUAUUUAAAUGCACUAACCACAUGAGAGGAGAUAAGUCGUAACAAGGUAAGCAUACUGGAAAGUGUGCUUGGAUAAAU